GAGUUGUAGUCUCUAGACGCGGACCCAAACGGUAGCACGGGCGUAAGUCCUCACGAGCGAGGCGCCAGGGAGGGUGAGAGCCCCGUACCGCCCGAGCUGCCAAACGGACCAAAGUCGACGAGUCGAGAUGCUUGGGAGUGCAUCUCUAAGUGGGUGGUAUGUCCCAUCUAAAGCUAAAUAUUGGCAAGAGACCGAUAGCGAACAAGUACUGUGAAGGAAAGAUGAAAAGCACUUUGAAAAGA
This 242-nucleotide ribosomal RNA is filed under the name Cyclophora tenuis. RNAcentral describes it as "partial Eukaryotic large subunit ribosomal RNA". It matches the Rfam family "Eukaryotic large subunit ribosomal RNA", at positions 140 to 384 of the family's 3401-position model. Lineage: Eukaryota; Bacillariophyta; Fragilariophyceae; Cyclophorales; Cyclophoraceae. The record is from RNAcentral.